RNAcentral lists this ribosomal RNA (95 nucleotides) under Herbidospora solisilvae. RNAcentral's name for it is "Herbidospora sp. NEAU-GS84 partial 23S ribosomal RNA". It matches the Rfam family "Bacterial large subunit ribosomal RNA", at positions 2832 to 2925 of the family's 2925-position model. The record is from RNAcentral. Lineage: Bacteria; Bacillati; Actinomycetota; Actinomycetes; Streptosporangiales; Streptosporangiaceae.
GGCCCCCGGUAGACGACCGGGUUGAUAGGCCGGGAGUGGAAGCACAGUAAUGUGUGGAGCUGACCGGUACUAAUAGGCCGAGGACUUGACCAUAA